GCUCCAGUGGUGCAAUCGGUCAGGACACAGUACUUAUAAGACAGUAACCUGCAGAGUGAUGCUGGGGUUGUGAGUUCGAGUCUCACCUGGAGCA
RNAcentral lists this transfer RNA (94 nucleotides) under Hippoglossus stenolepis (Pacific halibut). RNAcentral describes it as "tRNA-Ile". It matches the Rfam family "tRNA". From Rfam's summary of the family: Transfer RNA (tRNA) molecules are approximately 80 nucleotides in length. Their secondary structure includes four short double-helical elements and three loops (D, anti-codon, and T loops). Lineage: Eukaryota; Metazoa; Chordata; Actinopteri; Pleuronectiformes; Pleuronectidae. The record is from RNAcentral.